This 378-nucleotide ribosomal RNA is filed under the name uncultured eukaryote. Its description in RNAcentral is "partial 18S ribosomal RNA". It matches the Rfam family "Eukaryotic small subunit ribosomal RNA", at positions 592 to 976 of the family's 1831-position model. The record is from RNAcentral.
CAAUAGCGUAUAUUUAAGUUGUUGCAGUUAAAAAGCUCGUAGUUGGAUUUCGGGUGGGACGCAGCGGUCUCGCAUUGCGUUUGUACUGCUGCAGCCCUCCUUCUUGCCGGGGGCGGCCUCUCGGACUUCACUGUCUGGGGGUCAGAAUCGGCGAUGUUACUUUGAGUAAAUUAGAGUGUUCAAAGCAAGCUUACGCUCUGAAUAUAAUAGCAUGGGAUAACACGAUAGGACUCUGGCCUAUCGUGUUGGUCUAUAGGACCAGAGUAAUGAUUAAGAGGGACAGUCGGGGGCAUUCGUAUUCCGUUGUCAGAGGUGAAAUUCUUGGAUUUACGGAAGACGAACAUCUGCGAAAGCAUUUGCCAAGGAUGUUUUCAUUGA